GACGAACGCUGGCGGCGUGCUUAACACAUGCCAGUCGAACGGAAAGGCCCUGCUUUUGUGGGGUGCUCGAGUGGCGAACGGGUGAGUAACACGUGAGUAACCUGACCUUGACUUUGGGAUAACUUCAGGAAACUGGGGCUAAUACCGGAUAGGAGCACCUGCUGCUUGGUGGGGGUUGGAAAGUUUCGGGGGUUGGGGAUGGAAUCGCGGCUUAUCAGCUUGGUGGUGGGGUAGUGGAUUACCAAGGCUUUGACGGGUAGCCGGCCUGAGAGGGUGGCCGGCCACGUUGGGACGGAGAUACGGCCCAGACUCCUACGGGAGGCAGCGGUGGAGAAUAUUGCACAAUGGGCGGAAGCCUGAUGCAGCAACGCCGCGUGCGGGAUGACGGGCUUCGGGUUGUAAACCGCUUUCGCCUGUGACGAAGCGUGAGUGACGGUAAUGGGUAAAGAAGCACCGGCUAACUACGUG
This 468-nucleotide ribosomal RNA is filed under the name uncultured bacterium. RNAcentral's name for it is "partial 16S ribosomal RNA". It matches the Rfam family "Bacterial small subunit ribosomal RNA", at positions 28 to 507 of the family's 1533-position model. The record is from RNAcentral.